RNAcentral lists this ribosomal RNA (195 nucleotides) under uncultured bacterium. Its description in RNAcentral is "partial 16S ribosomal RNA". It matches the Rfam family "Bacterial small subunit ribosomal RNA", at positions 1307 to 1500 of the family's 1533-position model. The record is from RNAcentral.
GCAACUCGCCUACAUGAAGUCGGAAUCGCUAGUAAUCGCGGAUCAGCACGCCGCGGUGAAUACGUUCCCGGGCCUUGUACACACCGCCCGUCACACCACGAGAGUUUNUAACACCCGAAGUCGGUGAGGUAACCUAUUAGGAGCCAGCCGCCUAAGGUGGGAUAGAUGAUUGGGGUGAAGUCGUAACAAGGUACC